UGCAGAUGAUGUAAAAGAAUAUUUGCUAUCAGAAAAGCGGUGAUGACAUUAUAACCACCAAGAUCGCUGAUGCA
This is a non-coding RNA of Myodes glareolus (Bank vole), 74 nucleotides long. NCBI's taxonomy places the organism in Eukaryota, Metazoa, Chordata, Mammalia, Rodentia, Cricetidae. The record is from RefSeq and is a predicted model, not a curated record.